GGACCCGAAAAGAGGUGAAUACCCCCCUGACUUAAGCAAUCAAUAAGCGGAGGAAAAGAAACCAACAGGGAUUGCCGUCAGUAACGGCGAGUCGAAGCGGCAACAAGCGUGCAAAUGUGAAAAUCUGGCCCCCUCGGGGUCCGAGUUGUAAUUUGUAGAGGGUGCUUCGGUGGAAGCCCCGGCCCAAGUCCCUUGGAACAGGACGUCAGAGAGGGUGAGAACCCCGUGUCCGGCCGGCGGCGCUCCCCGCGUGAAGCCCCUUCGACGAGUCGAGUUGUUUGGGAAUGCAGCUCUAAAUUGGUGGUAAAUUCCAUCUAAAGCUAAAUACCGGCCACGAGACCGAUAGCGCACAAGUAGAGUGAUCGAAAGAUGAAACGCACUUUGGAAAGAGAGUCAAAAAGUACGUGAAAUUGUUGAAAGGGAAGCGCUUGCGGCCAGACUCGCCCGGCGGAUGUCACCCGCCUUCUGGCGGGUGCACUCUUCCCGGUCGGGCCAGCAUCGGUUCGGGCGGCCGGACAAAGGCCCGGGGAACGUGGCCCCCUUCGGGGGGUGUUAUAGCCCGGGUGCAAUGCGGCCAGCCGGGACCGAGGAUCGCGCUCUGCUAGGAUGCUGGCGUAAUGGCCGUAAGCGGCCCGUCUUGAAACACGGGACCAAAGGAGUCUAACAUCUAUGCGAGUGUUUGGGUGUCAAACCCGUGCGCGUAAUGAAAGUGAACGGAGGUGGGAACCUUAGGGUGCACCAUCGACCGAUCCUGAUGUCUUCGGAAGGAUUUGAGUAAGAGCAUAGCUGUUGGGACCCGAAAGAUGGUGAACUAUGCCUAGAUAGGGUGAAGCCAGAGGAAACUCUGGUGGAGGCUCGCAGCGGUUCUGACGUGCAAAUCGAUCGUCAAAUCUGGGUAUAGGGGCGAAAGACUAAUCGAACCAUUUAGUAGCUGGUUCCUGCCGAAGUUUCCCUCAGGAUAGCAGUAACGUUUUCAGUUUUAUGAGGUAAAGCGAAUGAUUAGCGAGCUGGGGCGUUGACAACAACCUUCAUCGAUUCUCAAACUGUCUAAAUAUGUAAGAAGUCCUUGUUACUUAGUUGAACGUGGACACUCGAAUGUAUCGUUACUAGUGGGCCAUUUUUGGUAAGCAGAACUGGCGAUGCGGGAUGAACCGAACGCGUGGUUAAGGUGCCGGAAUGCACGCUCAUCAGACACCACAAAAAGUGUUAGUUCAUCCAGACAGCAGGACGGUGGCCAUGGAAGUCGGAAUCCG
Molecule: ribosomal RNA, 1253 nt
Filed under: Hiogispora japonica
Lineage: Eukaryota; Fungi; Ascomycota; Dothideomycetes; Pleosporales
Description: LSU rRNA
Rfam family: Eukaryotic large subunit ribosomal RNA
Source: RNAcentral